CCUACGGGUGGCUGCAGUGGGGAAUUUUGGACAAUGGGCGCAAGCCUGAUCCAGCUAUUCCGCGUGUGGGAAGACGGCCUUCGGGUUGUAAACCACUUUUGUAGAGAACGAAAAGUCUAUUGAUAAUACCGAUAGACGAUGACGGUACUCUAAGAAUAAGCACCGGCUAACUACGUGCCAGCAGCCGCGGUAAUACGUAGGGUGCGAGCGUUAAUCGGAAUUACUGGGCGUAAAGGGUGUGCAGGUGGUUUUGCAAGAUGGAUGUGAAAGCCCCGGGCUUAACCUGGGAAAGCCAUACAUGACUGGAAGACUAGAGUGCGUCAGAGGGGGGUGGAAUUCCAAGUGUAGCAGUGAAAUGCGUAGAUAUUUGGAAGAACACCGAUGGCGAAGGCGGCCUACUGGACGGUGACUGACGCUGAGGCUCGAAAGCGUGGGGAGCAAACAGGAUUAGAUACCCGGGUAGUC
RNAcentral lists this ribosomal RNA (465 nucleotides) under uncultured bacterium. RNAcentral describes it as "partial 16S ribosomal RNA". It matches the Rfam family "Bacterial small subunit ribosomal RNA", at positions 338 to 795 of the family's 1533-position model. The record is from RNAcentral.